This is a non-coding RNA of Marmota flaviventris (yellow-bellied marmot), 1803 nucleotides long. The record is from RefSeq and is a predicted model, not a curated record. Lineage: Eukaryota; Metazoa; Chordata; Mammalia; Rodentia; Sciuridae.
CUUGGGACUACAGUUUUCCACGUGAAUGCUUGUUCCCUUUGUAACCACUGGAAAGCUGGGUCCUGGUUCCCAGUGUCAAUUGAAUAAUGAGGAUAUAGUUUUGAGAAAAAGGAAAAAAGAUUUAUUGCUUUGCUAGCAAAGGAGAAACACAGGGAUCUCCUGUCCCUGAGGCUGUGCUUCUGCCUAUCAGGGAGAACUGGGCUUUAAAAGAAGCUAUUCAAAGACCACACAAAAUAGGGCUGAGGAUGUGGCUCAGUGGUCAAGUGCCCCUGAGUUCAAUCCUUGUCCUCACCCCCUCCCCCCAAAAAAGGCUACAUUCCAGGGGUGUCCUGACAGGGGAUCCCAGGUGCAACCUGAAGGUGUGUUGAAAUUCACUUCUUAGAUCCUCUGGUAGAUAUCUCCUUCCUGUGGUGAGUGUGUUCAAGGACAAUUAACUAGGGGAAGAAAAGAUAACUGUCUCCCUCAUGUUAGGGAGGGGAAGAGGGGAGAAGAGAGAAAAGCACAUGCCCCUUUAAAAAUAAGACUCAGAGCAAGGAGGGCUAUGUACAAAAGGUAAAGUGGACCACUGUUACACCUUCAGCUUUGUUUUCAGAAAUGUUUAACAUUGGUUUCACUAAUGCUUUCAACAAAUAUUAAUAAGUAUCUUCCAGGUGCCAGGUACUGACCAGGAACAGAACAAGCAAAACAUCCUGUCUUCAUGCAGUGCAAAUUCUAGCAGGUGACUGGAACAGUAACCAUCCUGCUCAUGAGGAAGCCAGAAGAGUCUACAGAAGAGAAAAUGGAAGAGAUGGACAAAGAGCUGCAGAGGUGAGUGAUGUUAAGAAAAGGGCCUCUGGGGAUUCUGCCGAGUUUUACAGUUCCUGUUUCUGCACUCCUGGCUCACCUUUGCCCUGGAGAUAACUCCUUAAUAAUAACAUAGACUUACUUAUUAUUUACUUACACUGGUACCUUUUGAAACUUGGAAUUGAAAAGACCACAUCUGUGGUGCUCAGAUCUAACAGAUGAAAAAUGUCACCAGAAGGUUAUAUAUAAUUAUAAUGCACCAAUAAAAAAUAUGGGAAAAAAAUGUCACCAGUAGUGUAGUCAUUAAAACAAAUGUUUAUGUGAAUGCAGGAAGUCAGAAUGAAAUGAGAGGCAUUUCCAGAGGCCACUAAGAGCAGCAAUAAAUAAACAAACGGCCCAUAAAAAGAAUGAAGUCCCUAUAAAAAGCAGAGCAGAGAACUGUAAAAAGCUUAUCAGUCUAGGACCAUUUAGACCAUGAGAGGCCAGCAGAGACAGACCCAAGUGUUCAUAAGGCUUCAUUAGGUUGUAGAGCUUGGUAAGACUGAUGUGUGUUACAAUGGCUUUUAGCCAUAAAAGCCCAGCGAGAUCAUGUUCUUUGUUCCUGAAUGUCUUCACCAAAAAUUGUUUACAUGUUUAGGCAUUUAAAAAGGUAAGAUUCAUUUAUAUGGCAUACAGAUAUUGUGAAAUUUAUCAGUUUAUAACAUAAUGACAGAUGCAUGUGCAAAUAUAUGUGUACUUGUACAUCCAGAAAUAGAACAUUUCAAUAAAGAAUAAGGAGAAAGUAAAAGUGAGAAAUAUUUAAAAAUUUUAAUGUAUAUAUGAAUUCAAAUGCACUAAUUAAAAUGAUAAUAAUAGAAGGUAGAUUAGUAGAGAAGAAUAGGGAGGAUGGAGGGGAGGGAAAGAGAAGGUGCUGGGGAAGGACACUGAUCACACUACAUGCAUUUACAGAUAUAGCAUCGUGAAUUCUAUUAUGUAUCAUUACAAUGCAUCAAUAAAUUUAUUUUCUGUUUUUCUCCAUGA